This 253-nucleotide ribosomal RNA is filed under the name uncultured bacterium. Its description in RNAcentral is "partial 16S ribosomal RNA". It matches the Rfam family "Bacterial small subunit ribosomal RNA", at positions 524 to 776 of the family's 1533-position model. The record is from RNAcentral.
UACGUAGGGGGCUAGCGUUGUCCGGAAUCAUUGGGCGUAAAGCGCGCGUAGGCGGCCAGAUAAGUCCGGUGUGAAAGUCACAGGCUCAACCUGUGAAUGCCGCUGGAAACUGUCUGGCUAGAGUCCGGAAGGGGCGAGUGGAAUUCCUGGUGUAGCGGUGAAAUGCGCAGAUAUCAGGAGGAACACCGGUGGCGAAGGCGGCCUUCUGGACGGCUACUGACACUGAGACACGAAAGCGUGGGGAGCAAACAGG